Long non-coding RNA from Mauremys mutica (yellowpond turtle), 504 nucleotides. RefSeq lists it as uncharacterized. NCBI's taxonomy places the organism in Eukaryota, Metazoa, Chordata, Testudines, Geoemydidae. The record is from RefSeq and is a predicted model, not a curated record. The transcript is spliced from 3 exons.
UAGUGUUGCACACAGAACUGCUGUAUUUCCAUUUGAGUGAAGAGGCCUGGGAGUUUACGGCCCUGAUUCUACCAAGCACUUAAACAUCCUCAGAGUGAAAUAUAGUCUCACUGAAAUUAAGAGUUGCUCACAUUAUUACAGUGAAGCAAAUGCUAAAGUGCUUUGCUGAAUGAGGGCUGAAGAUGCUCCAGAAAAUCAGGCAGAAGCAAGAUCAGACGAGUGUGCACAUUUGCCAUCUUGCACUGUUGUUGCAACAUUGACUCCAUUGUCAGUGAUAAUCACAUCAGGGGAAUGACCUUGUGAGCUUUCUAAUAUUGAAUUGUUGUGGUGACAAGGAACUGAAUUGCAAAGGCUUGAACAGAACUUAUAUGCUAUGGAUGCUACUUGUAAAAACAAAAAUUGAGAAGGAAAACAAGAUCAGUCAAUCAAACACCAACUAGACUAAACACAUUCUGUCUUGUGUCCUGGAGGUCUUGGGAUUUAGGACUCUGCUGGGCUGCCAAA